ACAAAAUUCAUUUCUUUUCUUGACCUUGAAAAUUUCUGUUUUCCAAAUACCUAGGAAAAAUGAAUACCUUCUGCGUUGAAUCCAUGUAGCAAUCUGAAAAAAGAAAUCAAAAUGGAAUGGUACUGAAAAGCUAAUUUGUAGCACAUAACGGUAUAUAGUUCUAUACCAUUAAUACUAAAACAUGAAUACAGCAUGCUUACAGAGCCCACCCACUCCUAAUACUAGUUAUUAAAGAAACGUUACUGGCUGGGCGCAGUGGCUUAUGCCUGUAAUCCCAGCACUUUGGGAGGCUGAGGCGGGUGGAUUACCUGAGGUCAGUAGUUCGAGAACAGUCUGGCCAACAUGGUGAAACCCCGUCUCUACUAAAAAUACAAAAAUUAGCCUGGCAUGGUGGCACAUGCCUGUAAUCCCAGCUACUCGGGUGGUUGAGGCAGGAGAUUUGCCUGAACCCAGGAGGCGGAGGUUGCAGUGAGCUGAGAUUGUGCCACUGGAGUCCAGCCUGGGUGACAGAGCAAGACUCUGUCUCAAAAAAAAAAAAAAAAGAAAUGUUAUUGUCUGACUAAAUUUAUAAGAUAUGUAUUGGUUAAAACCAUGCCAUGUUGGUGCCUCUUUCAUUAGAGCCUUUAUGUCGUAAUGAAUUUGACUAAAAUUAUCUUAGACUUUCAUUAUCCCAGGCCUAAGAACUCACUGGCAUUUGUUUCAAGGUAACUGAACAAGAAGCUGUUUGGAAUUGGCAGAAGUCAGAUGAAAAACCAAUCUUACAUGCCCCUUCUUCCUCUCUUGAGCUGUUGUUUAUAUUCAAAUUAAAUACACAUUGUUUCUCUCUGUAGAUACCUAUGUACUUAAUAGAUUCUAGUUAGUAAACUGCACAUGCCCAAUAACUUUGAGGAAAUUUAGUGAAAAUGAAGAAAAAGAGAAAAUAUUUCUCUUUAGACCUGAGGUUAUGUUUAGGCUGGCCCAUAGAAACAGGUCCAGAUAAAUUUCUAAAAAAGCAAAGUAGAUAUUUAUGAAUAGUAUUCAAUGCCUAGGAUUAACAUCUAAAAUGACUCAGUAGUACUGCUAGCCAGCCAAUAAAAUAUAAACUCCAUUUGUCUUAGUUAUAUAGAACUGUGUUUCCAGCUUAGAAAAAGUCAAACCAAUGACUUUUAGAACAAUCUACUCUCAUUUUUUAUUCAGCCUCUAGAACAUGGAAGCUUUAAAAGUGAAUUGGCUAAAUAGGCAAGACCUUCUGAAAGUUAACAUCUUAAUGAUUAAAAACAGUAAGUACAGGUUAGUAAUUACCUGGGUAAUUAAUUGAAGCCUUAUUCUGUUUUCAUAAGACUUACUUGCUUAAUUCAAGCAAAACAAAUUUUGGUCUAAAUUACCUAGAUAAUUAUGACAGCUUUUUACUUGAGAAGUGUAGAACUUGCUUCAGGCUACAAAACUGUAUUAUUCCUAAAUGGAUAACCAGGUAGGAUUCUAACUGGCAUUAUUGUAUGCUUAAGAUUGAUUUAACAACAGCUAUUCCCAGUAAGGAAAUUUUAAAAAUCAGAUCCAGUUACAUGUAUUAUGAUUUUUCUACCUUAUGGACUAUUUUGGAGGGAUAAGCUAUUAAGACUAAGACUAUGAAUGAGAGUUGGGGAAGGAGCAGGAAGGGAGGAACCUGCACACCACAUUGGAACCUGCACACCACAUUAACACAAAGGCAAUCUUCUGGCUCGGACUGUUCUUUACUACUGUUCUUAAAGAAAAUGUUCAUUCUGCUGCAGCUAACUAGCCUCCAUCUUCUACACCAAAUACUAUUCCAUGCCAUGGAAGUGCUAUGCAAUAACUCUCCCAGGUAGCACCUUAUACCGCUUAAAAGCCUUUAAAAUCUCCAAUCUGAAGGUGUCACAGUAAAGAAAUGUAAACACUUAGGAAAACAAAAAUGUAAUUACCUGAUGAAGUCAUCUAUGUCCAUGGAACGGGCCCGUUUGUCACUAAAACCUGUGCUGGUUAGGAUUUGCUGUAUUUUAUCUGCUAUGCUGAAAUCUU
Molecule: long non-coding RNA, 2013 nt
Filed under: Homo sapiens (human)
Lineage: Eukaryota; Metazoa; Chordata; Mammalia; Primates; Hominidae
Description: HSALNT0088592
Source: RNAcentral